CAUGCAAGUCGAGCGAACUGACGAGGGAACUUGUCCCUCUUGACGUGAGCGGCGGACGGGUGAGUAACACGUGGGAAACCUACCUUUCAGCGGGGGAUAACGUUCGGAAACGGACGCUAAUACCGCAUAACGUUAAUAGUCGCAUGACUAUUAAAUAAAAGACGGCUCUGCUGUCACUGAAAGAUGGACCCGCGGUGCAUUAGUUAGUUGGUAAGGUAACGGCUUACCAAGACGAUGAUGCAUAGCCGACCUGAGAGGGUGAUCGGCCACACUGGGACUGAGACACGGCCCAGACUCCUACGGGCGGCAGCAGUAGGGAAUCUUCCGCAAUGGACGAAAGUCUGACGGAGCAAUGCCGCGUGUAUGAAGAAGGUCUCCGGAUCGUAAAGUACUGUUAUCAGCCAAGAACAAUUCACAGAGUAACUGUUGUGGAUCUGACGGUAACUGAUCAGAAAGCCACGGCUAACUACGUGCCAGCAGCCGCGGUAAUACGUAGGUGGCAAGCGUUGUCCGGAUUUAUUGGGCGUAAAGGGAGCGCAGGCGGUGACUUAAGUCUGAUGUGAAAGCCCACGGCUCAACCGUGGAAGGUCAUUGGAAACUGGGUCACUUGAAUGGAGCAGAGGAGAACGGAAUUCCAUGUGUAGCAGUGAAAUGCGUAGAUAUAUGGAGGAACACCAGUGGCGAAGGCGGUUCUCUGGGCUCACAUUGACGCUGAGGCUCGAAAGCGUGGGGAGCGAACAGGAUUAGAUACCCUGGUAGUCCACGCCGUAAACGAUGAGUGCUAAGUGUUGGGGGGCUUCCACCCCUCAGUGCUG
RNAcentral lists this ribosomal RNA (815 nucleotides) under uncultured bacterium. Its description in RNAcentral is "bacterial SSU rRNA". It matches the Rfam family "Bacterial small subunit ribosomal RNA", at positions 54 to 848 of the family's 1533-position model. The record is from RNAcentral.